RNAcentral lists this long non-coding RNA (582 nucleotides) under Homo sapiens (human). RNAcentral describes it as "HSALNT0083376". Lineage: Eukaryota; Metazoa; Chordata; Mammalia; Primates; Hominidae. The record is from RNAcentral.
CGAAUCCCCAACAUGAUGGUGAGGAGGUGGAGGCUCUGGGAAGUGAUUAGGUCAUGAUGGUGAGGAGGUGGAGGAUCUGGAAGUGAUCAGGUCCUGAUGGUGAGGAGGUGGAGGAUCUGGAAGUGAUUAGGUGGUGAUGGUGAGGAGGUGGAGGAUCUGGAAGUGAUUAGGUCGUGAUGGUGAGGAGGUGGAGGAUCUGGGAAGUGAUUAGGUCGUGAUGGUGAGGAGGUGGAGGAUCUGGAAGUGAUUAGGUCGUGAUGGCGAGGAGGUGGAGGAUCUGGGAAGUGAUUAGGUCGUGAUGGUGAGGAGGUGGAGGAUCUGGGAAGUGAUUAGGUCGUGAUGGUGAGGAGGUGGAGGCUCUGGGAAGUGAUUAGGUAGUGAUGGUGAGGAGAUGGAGGAUCUGGAAGUGAUUAGCUCAUGAUGGUGAGGAAGUAGAGGAUCUGGAAGUGAUUAGGUCGUGAUGGUGAGGAGGUGGAGGAUCUGGAAGUGAUUAGGUCGUGAUGGUGAGGAGGUGGAGGCUCUGGGAAGUGAUUAGGUCGUGACGGUGAGGAGGUGGAGGAUCUGGGAAGUGAUUAGGUCGUG